CAGGGUGUAGCGCAGUUGGUAGCGCAUCUGCUUUGGGAGCAGGGGGUCAUAGGUUCAAAUCCUGUCACCUUGA
RNAcentral lists this transfer RNA (73 nucleotides) under bacterium TMED88. Its description in RNAcentral is "tRNA-Pro". It matches the Rfam family "tRNA". Rfam says of the family: Transfer RNA (tRNA) molecules are approximately 80 nucleotides in length. Their secondary structure includes four short double-helical elements and three loops (D, anti-codon, and T loops). The record is from RNAcentral. RNAcentral also lists the same sequence under 2 other names.